Molecule: ribosomal RNA, 253 nt
Filed under: uncultured bacterium
Lineage: Bacteria
Description: partial 16S ribosomal RNA
Rfam family: Bacterial small subunit ribosomal RNA
Source: RNAcentral
UACGAAGGGUGCUAGCGUUGUUCGGAAUUACUGGGCGUAAAGCGCGCGUAGGCGGUGAUGCAAGUCAGAGGUGAAAUCCCAGGGCUUAACCCUGGAACUGCCUUUGAAACUGCAUUGCUGGAGUGUGUGAGGGGAUAGCGGAAUUCCUAAUGUAGAGGUGAAAUUCGUAGAUAUUAGGAGGAACACCGGUGGCGAAGGCGGCUAUCUGGCACACAACUGACGCUGAGGCGCGAAAGCGUGGGGAUCAAACAGG